This 84-nucleotide transfer RNA is filed under the name Listeria monocytogenes. RNAcentral's name for it is "tRNA-Tyr". It matches the Rfam family "tRNA". Rfam says of the family: Transfer RNA (tRNA) molecules are approximately 80 nucleotides in length. Their secondary structure includes four short double-helical elements and three loops (D, anti-codon, and T loops). The record is from RNAcentral. Lineage: Bacteria; Bacillati; Bacillota; Bacilli; Caryophanales; Listeriaceae.
GGAGGGGUAGCGAAGUGGCUAAACGCGGCGGACUGUAAAUCCGCUCCUUCGGGCUCGGUGGUUCGAAUCCACUCCCCUCCACCA